GAACGGAGGCUAUAACAUUUUGUGGAGCACAGAAGAUAUAACGAGACUGAAUAGCGAUCCGAAGACUAUGUGGAUGUCCUAUGCGAUAGGAUUUAACUUUGUCGAGCACAAGCCUCGUUUGAUGG
Ceratina calcarata is the source of this 125-nucleotide long non-coding RNA. RefSeq lists it as uncharacterized. The record is from RefSeq and is a predicted model, not a curated record. Lineage: Eukaryota; Metazoa; Arthropoda; Insecta; Hymenoptera; Apidae. The transcript is spliced from 2 exons.